Molecule: long non-coding RNA, 2366 nt
Filed under: Equus caballus (horse)
Lineage: Eukaryota; Metazoa; Chordata; Mammalia; Perissodactyla; Equidae
Description: lncRNA (ENSECAG00000059237.1)
Source: RNAcentral
UUCCCACCCACUUUGACGAUCUCAUUUUACUAUCGUUUCUGACAGAGCUUUGCUGUGCUGGGGUAGGAGAAAGAUUAUCAAAGAAAAUGAUGCGUGUGAAUUGCUUUGUAAUCUAUGACUCACUAUACAGACCUAGCUUGAGAUAACAGAAGCAGGGAGCCUAGCCCAGGGACGCCACCAGAUCAGAGUGAAGAAAGCCUUGGCAGGUGGUAGGGUAGAGGCGGUGGGCAGCAGAUGGGGGUUGGCAGUGGAGGUAAGAUAAAGAAGCCUUUUGGAAGGGGAAGUGGGAGAAUCACAGAGCAUCCUCAGCGUGGCACCCUGAAGUAAGAGGAAGUAGGAAAGAGGAACAAGUGUGGGUAAUCCUAUAGCACAAAGAGCUGCCUCCCCCAGGACUGAGAAGACUAGCUGCCCCAGGGAAGGAUUCACAUGAAGCUUGGCCAGUGUCUUAACCCCAACUGCUCCAUGGCGCCCUCGAUCCAAACCUGUCUUCUCUCUGACAGUCAACAGAGAUCAUCUCUGGGACCAACUUCAUAAAGCCAAUUUAGACCAGUGCUGUCCAACAGAGAGAGAAUACAAACCACAAAUGCAAUUUUAAAUAUCCUUGUAGUCCCAUUUUUAGAAGUCCAAAGAAACAGGUAAAAUUAAUUUUAACACAUAUUUUAACCCAAUAUAAAAAUAUUAUUGUUUCAACAUGGCAUCAAUAUAAAAAAUUACUGAAAUAUUUUACGUUCUUUUUUCCCCAAUGAAGUCUUCAAGAUCCAAUGUGAAUUUUGUUCUUAGAAAACAUCUCAGUUUAGACCAGCCAUAUUUCCAUGGCUCAAUAACCACAUGUGGCUACUGGCUACCAUGUAGGACAGCAAAGAUUUAGAUUCUGUUAGAAGACAGAAUGGGAUCGCCCUCACCCAUGAGUCACUCAGAUCUCCCAGCUGACAGAGGCUGGAGGUUGGUGUUGGACCAGAGGAGAAAGCACAGGAGUGAUGUCCAGGCUGCCAUCCUGGCCUCUGGAAGUUCUGCUUCACCUGCUUAAUCAGAAGACAGGACCACUGCUUGUCAAAUACAUGUCACAUCUGCCCCAGAGGGUGUCAGCACUGCCCCUGGGAAUGGCACCAAUGACCUGUCGAAGUUCUAGAGGCCAAAGCAGGUCACUUUCUUUAGUUACAGGGGUGUCAACUUAUCCCUUAUCCAGAUGCCUUUUAUCUUACAGGGUGGGAGUGGGGGCAGACAGGCCUUCUUUUGGUCAAGAAUGAAGAUCUCUACAACCUUUUGUCAUCUGGUCCAGUCACCUAGUGGCAUCUCACCAAUAUUUGGAGCUGUUUUGUCAAUCCCUUAAUUUCUUUAAAUUUGUAUCUUAAAGUCAAAUGCUAAAAGGGAAUACACUGGGAAGAGCAGUGGCCACAGGCAGACUGGGCUCCGAGGAGGUGGUGGUGACAAGCCUGUCCCUUGCCCUGGGACUAGGUCCAUCAUUGCCUACCUCUCCUCCCCGUCCAGAGACCUUUCUUAGAGCUGAAGAAACCUCUUUUGUUCGGGAAAAAGACAAGCCGUGAGAUCUUAGUGCAGAGAACAGAAUAAAUGCAAGCAAGCAACCCUGGGCACUCUCAAAGUCUUUCAGAGAGCCAGUGUGACAAGGUUUGACUCAUUUAAAAUAUAACACUCUGAGCCCUGUGUUACUAAGCAAAAGAAAAUGAGCCAAUUUGGUGAGUAUGUCAUUACACAGGGACCAUAGCUGACAAAACUCUUCAACACCUGGAGUGUUUAUGGUCCACCAGAUUAUUGCUCAGUCAAUAUAAAUUUAUUUACCUUUACUUUAAUUUGCAUAGUGCUUUCUGAUUGGUUAGAUGAGGAGUGGUGUGUACUGCAGGAUUCCAACAUCGCCUCUGCCCUCGGAGGUAGCAAUUCCUGUGGUUAUUGGUGCUAAAAUAAGAUUAAAUAUUAUGUUAAUUUGUUCUGAUACGAUGUGAAUAAAUGUAUUGUUUAAUCUUAACAAGAAUGCUACAUCUUAUCAGAUCUAUUGUACUGUCUGUUUCUUCUCAUAAUUAAUUAAUUACAGGAAAGGUGAUCCAAACCAGAUCUUGAAACUAUUGUGCUAUUGAGAGGUGAAUUUAACAGGGAAGUGGGAGGGGGGAUGAAAAGGGAAAUUGCCAGGUUCCUGUGACUUUGCAAGGACUGAGGAAGCAGAGAGCAUUUGGGGACUUCACUGACACUGACUGCAUCUUGCAAUUUUCUUUUUCAAAUUGGCAGAAAUAUUGUAUUUCCAUCGAUUGAAGAAAAAAGUGUCUGGUAAUUAAUUAAAUGACUUGUUCAUGGAAAAAAUAAAAAUAAAUAAUCUGUCAGUUGUGGAAUGUAAACUGAUUAAACAAUUAAAUAAA